CUUGUGGACUGUUAUAACAAAUGGAAGUAGAUUUUAUAUUAUUUUGAGAUAUGAUAUAAAAACAAAACCAGACAGGGUGAAGCAAGAA
The submitters of this non-coding RNA (88 nucleotides) gave its source as unclassified sequences. The record is from Rfam.